CAGAGGUGGGGUGCCUACAGAAACAGCCAUGCGACCAGCAGCAGGAAGUGGGGGUCUGCAUUAUUACUGUGCUAACCCAUUUCCCUGCUUCUUGGUAGGCUGAGCCCUGAUCGUCUUAGCUUGUUUAUUAGCUCUGUCCAUGUGUUUCGGGGAGGUGUCUAAGCUAGUCAUAGUUCCCCAGUUUCCCGGUCAGUGACUGGUUCUGGAAGGAGCCGUGACUCACUCCUAGACAAGAACAUGUGAGGCCUUGCCAUGACCUCGUGAACGUGUCCAGGCUAGCCUGCUGCGGGUAGGAGACCGAAGGCUCCCCAGCCAACUGCCACCCAGCCCCCUGAAGCAGAGCCAUCUAGCUUCCGGUAGACCGGAAGAACUACCCAGCUGAGCCCAGCCUGUUACCGACCUACAGAAUGGAGAGCCUCGCCCAGGGGUCUUCCCCAAGCCUAACCUUCAAGGCACAUGGAUGGCAAGCCAAGGCCACUCUGCCCAAGUCCCUGGUCAAAUGCUACCUCUGAGCUUGGGCCUCGAAAGGCCCCACAGCUUCUGUCCACUUUCUUGGCCCCUUCCCACCGCCUUGUGGACAAGCCUGGCUCUCUGCCUGCCGGAGGAUGAGACCACGUGGAGAGCC
Prionailurus viverrinus (fishing cat) is the source of this 625-nucleotide long non-coding RNA. RefSeq lists it as uncharacterized. The record is from RefSeq and is a predicted model, not a curated record. Lineage: Eukaryota; Metazoa; Chordata; Mammalia; Carnivora; Felidae. The transcript is spliced from 3 exons.